Molecule: transfer RNA, 69 nt
Filed under: uncultured Eubacterium sp.
Lineage: Bacteria; Bacillati; Bacillota; Clostridia; Eubacteriales; Eubacteriaceae
Rfam family: tRNA
About the family: Transfer RNA (tRNA) molecules are approximately 80 nucleotides in length. Their secondary structure includes four short double-helical elements and three loops (D, anti-codon, and T loops). Further hydrogen bonds mediate the characteristic L-shaped molecular structure. tRNAs have two regions of fundamental functional importance: the anti-codon, which is responsible for specific mRNA codon recognition, and the 3' end, to which the tRNAs corresponding amino acid is attached (by aminoacyl-tRNA synthetases). tRNAs cope with the degeneracy of the genetic code in two manners: having more than one tRNA (with a specific anti-codon) for a particular amino acid; and 'wobble' base-pairing, i.e. permitting non-standard base-pairing at the 3rd anti-codon position.
Source: RNAcentral
GGCGUAGCUCAAUGGAUCAGAGUAGCGGACUUCUAAUCCGUCGGUUAAGGGUUCGAAUCCCUUCGUCUG